GUGAUGGAGGAUUUGCAGGUAUAUCUAAUUAGUGAAUAUUGCUUUCCUAUUUUGGUGUAUGUUAUAACAUUUUUUUUUCAAUUUUCCAAGUGAACUUUUGAGGGAAAAAUGUUUAAUAUUUCCCAGGUAAAGCAAAUCUGAGCAAAGUGAACUGGUAUGAUGCCGGAUACAUUAAAGUUUGUCUUGGUUACCCCAGCACAUUUCUGUCAUUUAAAAGAAACAAUUGAAACCCCUUUAGCUUUUGUUGGCCAGCUCUCUUAAAGCCCAGUUUACUAGAAAGAAAAAAAAUGGUUUCUUUGAAAGAAGAGAGAUUUGCUUCCAGUGUUGAUUCUAGGAAUCACUCUCUUCAAUGUUUUAACUUUUUCUUUUCCUUUGUAUACCUUCUUUCUCUUUCUUGUUAGGUGGUUUUGGAUCUUAAGAAACUCUAUUUUCUUUAACCAGAUUUUUCUCCUUUACCUAAAAUGAGUUGUGUACUCUUUAUCAAUACUUUUAACUUCAUUGCUGAUAUCAAAUUUUUAGCAUGUUUUCUGGUCCAUCAACAUACCAUGAAGGGUGAUGAUGAUGGUACCUCCUAGAUCUGGACUGUUUUGCACUUAUUUCCCCUCCUUUCUAUGAAAUCUGUUUGCCAUGAAUUACCUGUGAUGUCUUGCUUUUUUCUGUUCAAUUUCUUCUUUUCAUUUUAUUAUGCAUUAUUGAUGAGUGUUUUGUACUGUCAUUUUUAUUAUUAUUUUGGAGCAAAGUGGUGAAUUUUACUUUACAAGUGUGGCAGUGUUGAAGUAUUGUUUAUACUAGUAAUUACUCUUUAGUACUGUAA
Molecule: unclassified non-coding RNA, 814 nt
Filed under: Hevea brasiliensis (rubber tree)
Lineage: Eukaryota; Viridiplantae; Streptophyta; Magnoliopsida; Malpighiales; Euphorbiaceae
Source: RNAcentral